Molecule: unclassified non-coding RNA, 338 nt
Filed under: soil metagenome
Description: partial contains 5.8S ribosomal RNA, internal transcribed spacer 2, and large subunit ribosomal RNA
Rfam family: 5.8S ribosomal RNA (bases 1-119)
Source: RNAcentral
GAUGAAGAACGCAGCGAAACGCGAAAGGUAAUGCGAAUUGCAGAAUCAGUGAGUCAUCGAAUCUUUGAACGCACAUUGCGCCCCUUGGUAUUCCGGGGGGCAUGCCUGUCCGAGCGUCAUUGCAACCCUCAAGCGCGGCUUGUGUGUUGGGCUUCGUCCCCCCGUGGACGUGCCCGAAAGGCAGUGGCGGCGUCCCGAAUGGUGCCCGAGCGUAUGGGAACUCUCUUCCGCUCGAACCGGCCCAUUCGGCGCUGGUCGAACCCCAAUUUUUUUUUACCGGUUGACCUCGGAUCAGGUAGGGAUACCCGCUGAACUUAAGCAUAUCAAUAAGCGGAGGA